This is a long non-coding RNA of Anthonomus grandis grandis, 5940 nucleotides long. RefSeq lists it as uncharacterized. NCBI's taxonomy places the organism in Eukaryota, Metazoa, Arthropoda, Insecta, Coleoptera, Curculionidae. The record is from RefSeq and is a predicted model, not a curated record. The transcript is spliced from 5 exons.
UGGUGUUUUUAUUAUUAUUUAUGUCCUUUUUUUAAAAGUUUUUUCACCUGUAAGUCUGCAUGUGAUUGAUCUAUCUAAUCAUAUUAUCGUGGUGAAUUCUUACAGGAAACACACGAUUCUCAGCUCCUCUAAGCAUACAUACAAUUAUUAUUUUUUGUAUGUUGCUGUAUUAGAUAUUAGCCUAUUUAGUCCCCCAUAAUCCAAUUAAUUGGCCCAAAAAACAAUGAAAAUUAUUAAACUAUAGUGUUAACAAACGAAAAGGUCCAGUGCAUUUCAUAGCAUGCCUUUUACUUGGCUGUUUUCAUGGAUAUUCUUUUUAUUGAUUUGAGAAGUAUUUUGAUCUCAAGCCUAAGCAACAACAAUUGCUGUGGAGGGCAAUUAACAUUAUACUAUUUUCUUUAAAAACUAGAUAUAUUUAAAAUCGAAUAACGUCUCCUUUCUAUUUUUAUAUUAACAUAAUUUAUUCUACAAUACAAAAUAUAUUAAAAUAGCCCUUUUAGACUCGAGUAAAUUUUAGAUAAAACUUAAAUUAGUUAACCCUGAUAUAGUCUAUUUAAAAUGAAUUCGAACGGCGCUAAAAUUGGGGAACGGUCAAGAAUCCACAACAAGGUACUAAAAAUAAAUAAACAAAAUAUAUGUCUGGCCACGGAAUCACCAGGCUCCGGACCGUUCAACGAUCAAUUUUUUUGGCAGAGAGAGAUACGCCGAUGAGAGCGCAAUAUCGUGUAACAGACGAGGAAAAAGACUGCGAAGUCGAGCUCGAGGGUUUGAUUGUUGGACGGGCCGUGGUUUUACAUGUGCGGGCGGCUGGGGAUGAUAUUUUAUUUCUAAUUUCUAUUAUUUUAUAUUUAAAUAUCUGUUUGGCAGGUAGUAAGAAGUACUUAAAAGUGAGCUCCCUUAUUGUCGUUUCUUUAUCUCUUUAUUCUGUAGUUUUUGGCAGUUCUUUUUAUAAGCUGUUUUUUGUUCUGUUUUUGCUGUUGUUGUUGUUGCUGCUGUGUUGCUUUUUUUGUUGCUAAAUACGUUUUUUUGUCGUUAAUUUUCGUAAAUUAUACGACCAAGAUGGCAUUGUGGAGACCCUUUGAUGUGUCAGGUAACGAAGCUGAAGGGCCGGAACAUAACGAAUUUUUAAAUAAAGACCUACAUGUUCAAUCACAGCGGCUAAUAUUAAAUAUUUUUAAUUGCUUGAAAAGUGAAAUGCCUGAAGCCGCACAAAAUCAAAUUUUAACAAGAAUUUGUGAGCUUACUAAGCUGGCUCGUACCACCGUUUACAGUGUGAUAAAAGCAGGAAAUGUCAUUGAUAAUUCUGUAAAAUGAAAAAAAUUUGAUAAGAAAAAUUGAUGAUAGCGACAAAAAUGUUAUUCGUCGAUCUAUUUAUCAAUUUUAUAGUGAAAACAAAAUUCUAUCAUUAGAAGACAUCCAAAGAAAGCUACUAACGGAUUAUCCCGACUACAAAUAAAAAAGUCUUGCUACAUUAGGUUGUGUAUAGUAGAAUGUGGAUUUAAAUAUAAAAAGUUAGAUAAAAGGAUGGUUAUUAUGGAAUCUCCUCGAAUUGUAACAUGGCGACACGAAUAUUUAGAAAAAAUAAAGGAAAUAAAUACCCAUAGCGUUUACAUCAAAAAAUCUCAAAUAAUUCCACAAAAAAGGAUGAAAUUCUUAAAUUUAUGGAAAGCAAAAAUAUGAGCAUUCCACAAAAAGCCACACAGAAAAUUUUAUUAGAAUCCAUAAAAAAUGAACAUUUUAAAAAGAAUACGUUAUCGAUAAACUCUGUGAGACAAAUGGCCACACCGUAUUACGUCAGUAUUUUUAAUCCCAUAGAGAUGAUUUGGGCUACUUUAAAGGACCGAAUUAGAAAAUAUAAUCAAUCUCCAACGAACGAUACUUUCGUAUUAGAAACUAUAAGGGCAGUUGUAGAAGAAAUUAAUAAAACAUACAUAUGGACGAAUUGUGUUCGGAGUGUUAUUGAAAAAGAGAAUGAGUAUGGUAUUUUACUUCAUGUUAACCCUAUUAUUAUAAAUCCAAGUUUGGACUCCAAUUUCCGAAGAUUCAAACAGUGAUUUUUGAGUUUUUUUAUAAACAUUUUAAUUACUAAAUAUAAUGAAUAAUAAUAAGUUUAUAAAUCCUCGUAUAAAUCAUUUGAAUUACAUUAUCCAUACAUCGCUUAAUUUUACUGAAUAUAACUAGUUUUUAUCUAUACAGGGUACCUACCUAUUCAAAUUUAAGUUCAAUAUUAUGCUAUAACAAAACUACUAAAAAAAGUAUAUAAAAUAUUAGCUAAAUAAUUAAACAUGCGUAACAUUACAGGCAAUAACUAUCCUAAAAUAGAGUGAUUUAUGGCCAUAUGCACCGUUGUCUUUAACUUACUGAUUUUACAUGUAAAAUCGAAGGCUUAAGCGUAAAGCGGAGCUUAAAUACCACGGUGCAUAUGGCCAUUAAAAUUUUAAUAAAUAUAACCAAUUAAUGGAUUUUUAAAAUAUUUUAAGAAAUAAUAGCUCUCUAUUUUUUGCACGCCUAUGCUUUAUAAAGAAGAUGCCGCUUAUUCAUUGUGAUUUGGUUUUUUUGCUGUUCGAAUUCAUUUUAAAGGUGCGAAAACUAAUUUUUUUUUUAUAAAUAUAAAAAAAUUUCUUCAGUUAACUAUUAAAAUAAUAAAAUGAAUAACCCCGUUUCUUUUCAAGCCAUAUCAAUUUGCAAUACUCUUUUUGUAAUGUAACCAAAAUGCUUACUUAGCUUCAGCUUGUCUUCUAUUCAUGUAAAACAGGACUGUGUUGAUGAUUUUGACAAAUGUGUUUCUUGUUUCGAUAGAAUCCUUAACAUAUCGCCCUAAGUUAAAUUUGUGCUACUUCAAAAAAGGUAUAUGUGGAGAUUUCAAAGUAUUAAUUACAGGAAUGCCCUACAUGGUUAGAUUGCUAGAGAAAAAAUUUUAAAAUUCAACUGAUUAAAUUUCCUCAUGGUAAUAAUAAUUUGAAUUUUUAAGUAGGUAAAUUAAUAGUAUUGGUCUAAAAGCAUAUAAUAUAUCGAUGGUCAAGCGCACAAAUGUUGUAAGUGCCAAAUUGAAAUUAUCGAGAAUUAAACAAAAUAAAUUUAUGGUUUUAUAAGAUUAAAUUUAGCGCUUAUUUGUACAUAUUGGCCUGUAAUUUUUUUUUAACGAUAAGUGUCCUUUCCAGUAUAAAAAUGUUAGUUUCAUAAAUAUUCAAUAAGGGAAACUUUAAAAAAAAUUAAUUUUUAUUCACUUAACUCAUUUGUACAAACUGAAUAUACACAUUUCUUACAAAAACAAAUACAACUGUACAUUAUAGUAAAUGGGCAUUGAUAAACAUAAAUACUACCAAAUCCAAAAAAAUAAUAAUAUUGAGCAACUAGUAAUAAUAUUAUUAACAUAAAAAAAAUAUAAAUUAAUCCAUGUCUGAGUCUGAUGGAACGGUAUGGAUUGCUAAUUUUGCGGUAAACAAUACCGCAAAAAGUUGAAGGAAUGUUUUGAAUACAAUCAGUAUAGUCUUCUGGAAUAAUUUUUCUGCCAAGCAGAUAAAGAAGAUCUUUCUUUUUCUUUUCUGAUACUGCAAGUCGUGAUUUGUAUUUGCUUUUUAGUUCAGAAGAAUUCAAAUCAGUUUAUUGACCCGAGCGCCUUCUGUUAACUGUAAUAUCGAGUUAAAAAAAAAUCAGAACAUAGGUCAUAUUUAUAUUGUAUAAUAAAGGGUUUGCUCUUUUCCAAGCGUAUCCAUUUUAUACGCAUCCACGAAACUUUCUCUCCAUUAGUGUUUACGGAAGUGUUAAUAAUAACACCGUUAGUUAGUUGUUGUCAGAUUUUCGACUUGGUAGGGUUUUGGUUUUAUUCUAGCAGUAGAUAUUAGUAGACACCAUUCUCGUGUAUUAUAAAUGUUUUUGUGAGCUCUCGCUCGUUCGAUUGUGGAGUGCACGGAAUCUGCUUCCUGAUAAGAAUGACCAGAUUCCAUAAAUUUAAGGUCUAUUAUUUUAAGAUGAUCAAUUUUAUUAACUGCGUAAAGCAUCGCUGUAGUCACAAACUUGUUGCGAUUCUGACCACCAGCAGUAUCUGAAAAAGAUGAUGAAACUGCUCAACUGUAUUAGGCAAGCUUUGUAUGUACUUUAGAAGGCAUGUACCUAUUUCUGAGCUUCCUUUACUAGAGUCCAUAAAAUGAGAGAAUAUGCCGGAAUAUGCGUGUAAAUUCAGUUUAAUUUGUGUUUACCUACUUUUUUCUUCCAAUUUUGGUGUGUUUUAAUUUAAAGACUAUUAUUUUGUGUGUGUUUGUUACUACUAACGUAUUAAAGGUAAGAAAAUGUAGUAGUUUUUUUAAAAGGUAUCUUACAGUGCAAAUUAAUAAACCAAAAGUGCAACUCCAAAGAAACAAAGAAUUUACAUUAACUUUAUUUUUGAAGUUUUUUGAUUUUAUUCAUAUUGUCUGUUUUUUUUUUCAAAACAUGUAAAAAUAAGAACGAAUGGUUAUUCAAAUCAUUUAGUUAGUUUAUAGAUCUAUGUAAAAUAUUUAACUGUUUUGUAGAUGUCGCCAAAGAAAUUAGGUACGAAAGGGCAAAUAAUACAUAGCCAGGGAAGAGAAAUUAUUGCCAAUGUAGCAGAGUUUAUGCAUAAAGAGGCAGAAGAAGGAUUAACUAUUUCUUUAAAACGCUUUAGAGAACGUACGUUGGCUGCUACAAAAAUAUCGAAAGUUGCCUACCAAAAAUUAUUGAAGGAGUCGGCCAAUAUAAAAAAUAACCCCUCUUGUUCAUUCAGCAGUCCAAGAAAAAAGAAAUCACGUAUACUUGACAUUACUUCGACGCAACUUAAAGAAAUUAGGAGCAUAGUUAAUGAUUUUUAUAUAGUGGAAAAAAGAAGGCCUACUCUCAAGUUAAUCCUACAAAAGAUCAUUGACCGAUUUAUUAUUCAUGAGCCUAUGAGUAUACCUUAGCAAAACUACUAAAGAGCAUUGGAUUUAGAUGGAAGAAGACAGAUGAUAAUAGAAAUGCCUUGAUGGAAUCAUAUGACAUACGUUUGAAGAGAAUAAAAUACUUAAAACAAGUUACCGAAUUUAAAAAUCAAGGUAGAAAUAUAGUGUAUACUGACGAAACCUAUAUACACAGUAGUCAUACUUCUGACAAAGGUUGGUUUGACGAAAGCCUAAGCGGUAUACGAAAACCCAUUUCAAAAGGACAGCGAUUAAUCAUCGUUCAUGCUGGAGGAAAAAUGGUUUUGUUAAAGACGGUCUACUUAUAUUCCGCUCAGAUUCUAAAAGUGGCGAUUACCAUGACGACAUGAAUCAUGAAAAUUUCAUGAAAUGGGUGGAAACCCAAUUACUUCCGAAUUUGCCACCAAAUUCGGUCUUAGUUUUGGACAAUGCAUCAUACCAUAAUGUACAAGUAAAAAAGAAUGUUACCUCUCCCUAAGGAGCAUAAUUUAGAACAUGACGAGAAAAUGACAAAAACGGAACUUUAUGAAAUAGUUCUUCAAAAUAAAAGAUUUUAUCCGAUAAAGUGCAAACUUGACGAACUAAUGGAAAGUCACGGACACUCAACUUUGCGUUUGCCUCCAUACCACCCAGAAUUGAACCCCAUUGAAAAAAUCCGGGCCACUGUUAAAAACUGGGUAGCAAGCAGGAACAGAACUUUUAAGUUAGCAGAUGUAGAAGCUUUGACGAGGCAAAAAUUUGCAGAAGUAUCUGUCGAUGAUUGGAGAAACAUUUGUGACCAUGUCGACAAAAUUGAAGACAAAUAUAUAAAAGAUCAUAAUCUUUUUGAUGAAACUUUAGAUUCCCUAAAAUUUACGGUAAACACUGGCUCAUCAGAUGAAGAUUUGGAAACGAGUUCCGACGAAUCAAUUAUUAGCAAUGUGGACAUUUUGUCAGAUAGUGACUAAUUUAAUAAUAUGAAUAUGUAUUAUAUACCGUAAUAAUAUUAUGUAGUGUUUUUAUGAGCAGUAAAAUUUAUAUACCCUUA